GAAUAUUUCAUUGACGUAAAAGGUUAGUUUUACCAAUUAAACUACAUAUGGCAGCUCAUACGUAUUGUGUUAUGAAUUAAUGUUUUAACUAAAUUUUAAAAAAUUAGCUUAAGAGUAAUUCAAUUAAGCUAAUUCUUAGCUUUAAACUUUACCACAACACCAAUGUCCUAUAUUAUGCUAGCUAGGAAACUAGGCCAUAGAAAAAAGUAAGAGGAGUGACAAAAAUGGUGCCAGCAGUCGCGGUUAUACCAGUACUCCAAGCUAAUUCUAACAAGACUGGAGUAGCUUUAUAAUUUAGACUACAAGAUUAACUUUUAGUGUAAAAAACAAAUUAUAACUAAACCCUAUUUAGUCAAACAUUAACCACUCCAACAAACCAUAAUCUCAGAACUCGGAUUAGAUACCCGACUACUGUAUGGCUCAACAUAUAUAAGAAUACUACGAGCGAAAGCUUAAACCUCAAACAAUGUGGCGGUGCUUUACUCCUCAUCAGGGGAUCCUGUGGCUUAAUUCGAUAAUCCACGAAAAUCUUAGCUACUCUAGACUUCCAGCUUGUGUAUGGCCGUUUAUGCUUGCUCUUAAAAGAAAAAAAAGGAAGCAGAAGAGGUUACUACCCCAAAAAUUCAGGUGACAUACAGCCAAUGAUUAGCAGAUCCAUGGGAUACAAAUAAACAUCCUAUCAAAUUUAAAAAUUAAAAUUUUUAAUAAAGGAGGACUUGAAAGUAAGGGUUACUCCAUCAAAUGACCCUGAAUAAGAACUAAAGCGCGCACAAAUCGCCCGUCACUCCGACAAUAAAGUAGGAUAAGUCGUAACAUAGUAGGGGUAAUGGAAAUUGCCCCUAUCACAA
Molecule: non-coding RNA, 848 nt
Filed under: Sinanodonta woodiana
Lineage: Eukaryota; Metazoa; Mollusca; Bivalvia; Unionida; Unionidae
Source: RNAcentral